This is a ribosomal RNA of Cucumis melo (muskmelon), 3232 nucleotides long. The record is from RefSeq and is a predicted model, not a curated record. Lineage: Eukaryota; Viridiplantae; Streptophyta; Magnoliopsida; Cucurbitales; Cucurbitaceae.
UUGCAAUUGUUUCCGUAGGUAAACCUUAUCAUUUAAAGGAAGGAGAAGUUGUAACAAGGUUUUCAUAGGUGCACCUAUGGAAGGAUCAUACGAACGCGUUUAAAAACAAACUAUCAACAAGUUGGGUUGUUUGGGAAUGCAAUCCCAAUCGGGUGGUAAAUUCUAUCCAAUGCUAAAUAUGGGCAAGAAACCGAUAGCAAACAAGUACCGCAAGGGAAAGAUGAAAAUGACUUUAAAAGAUAAUUAAAUAGUGCUUGAAAUUGUCAAGAGGUAAGUGGAUGGUAGCCGGUGAUGUACCCCAGUCGGAUGUGGAACGGUGACGAGUCGGUCCGCCAAUCAACUUAGAGCAUGGACCGAUGCGAAUUGAGACGGUAGCCUAUGCUCAGACCUUUGUUACGCCUGUGGAGAUGUCGUCGUCCAGAUCAUGGCUGGCAGCGUGUGCCUUAUGGCAGGCUUUGACAUCUGCGCACUCUUGGCAUCAGCCUGUGGGCUCCCCAUUCGACCCGUCUUGAAACACGGACUAAGGAGUCUGGCAUGUGUGUGAGUUAACAGGUGAGUAAUCUCGUAAGACGCAUGGAACCUAGCUGGUGUAUCCCUUAGUGGGUUGCACCACCGACCAACCAUGGUCUUCAGAGAAGGGUUCGAUUGUGAGCAUGUCUAUCGGGACCCAAAAGAUGGUGAAUUAUACCUUAGUGAGGCAAAGUCAGAUGAAACUCUGAUGGAUGCUCGUAGCGAUACUAAAGUGCAAAUCAGACAUCUGACUUGGGUAUAGGGGCGAAAGACUAAUUGAAUCGUAUAGUAGCUAGUUUCUUUCGAAGUUUUCCUCAAGAUAGCUUGAGCCCGCGAGCAAGUUCUAUAGGGUAAAGCCAAUGAUUAGAGGCAUCAGGGGUGCAAUGCCCUUGACCUAUUCUCAAACUUUAACUAGGUAGGUCAACAAGACUGCUUUAUAGAGCCACACCACAAAAUCGAGAGCUCCAAGUAGGCCAUUUUUAGUCAGCAGAACUAGUGAUGCAAGUUGAACAAAAAGCUGGGUUAUGGUGCCUAUCUGCACGCUAACCUAGAUCCCAUAAAGGGCACAAAGGGUCUUGGUCGAUUAAGACAACAGGACGGUGGUCAUGGAAGUCGAAAUCCACUAAGGAGUUUGUAACAACUCAUCUGCCGAAUAAACUAGCCCCCGAAAAUGGAUGGCAUUAAAGCACGCGACCUAUACCCGAUCAUUAGGGCAAGAGCCAGGCCCCGAUGAGUAGGAGGGUAAGACGAUCACUACAAAACCUUGAGCGUGAGCUCGAGUAGAGCGUCCAUCGGUAGAGAUCUUUGUAAUAGUAGCAAAUAUUUAAAUGAGAACUUUGAAGGCCGAAGAGGGGAAAGGUUCUAUGUGAACGACACUUGCAUAUGGUUUAGUCGACCCUAAGAGACGGGGAAACCCAUUUGAUAGCGCGACAACACGAACUUUGAAUGGGAAUCAAGUUAAAAUUCCUAAACUAGGACGUGACGGUUGACGACAGCGUAAGGGAUUCCAAGACGUCGGCGAGGGCUUUGAGAAGAGUUAUCUUUUUUGUUUCACAGUCUGCCCACCAUGGAAACGGCUCAGCCGGAGGUAGGGUUCAGUGGCUAGAAGUGCACUGCACGUUGUAUGGUGUUCAGUGCGCCCCCUACGACCCUCAAAAAUUUAGACGAGUACAUCUCACGCCCAAUCGUACUUAUAACUGCAUCAGGCCUUCAAGGUGAACAGCCCCUAGUCAAUGGAACAAUGUAGGCAAGGGAAGUUAGAAAAAUGAAACCGUAACCUCGGGAAGAGGAUUGGCUUUGAGAGUUGGGCACGGGGUCCUAGUCCCGAACACAUCGAUUAUUGAUGGAUUACUCGAGCUACUUUCACAACGAGAGCGGGUCACCAUGUGCCGAUCAGAGGACGGACUGGGAACGGCUCCUUCUCCGGGCGUCGAACAGUCAACUCAAGACUGGUGCGGACAAGGGGAAUCUGACUGUUUAAUUAAAAAAAGCAUUGUGAUGGUCCCUACGGAUGUUAAUGCAACGUGAUUUUUGCCCAGUGCUCUGAAUGUCUAAGUGAAGAAAUUCAACCAAACACGUGUAAACGGUGGGACUAACUAUGACUCUCUUAAGAUAGACCAAUGUCUUGUCAUCUAAUUAGUGACGUGCAUGAAUGGAUUAACAAGAUUUCCAUUGUCCUUGUCUACAAUCCAGUGAAACCAUAGCCAAGGGAACGAGCUUGGCAGAAUCAGCGGGAAAAGAAGACCUGUUGAGCUUAACUAUAGUUCAACUUUGUGAAAUGACUUGAGAGGUGUAGGAUAAGUGGGAGUCGAAAAGCCAAAGUGAAAUACCACUACUUUUAACGUUAUUUUACUUAUUCCAUGAAACGAAAGCGAGGCACUACCCCUCUUUCUGGACAUAAGGCUUGCUUCGGCAGGCUGAUCCGGGCGAAAGAAAUUGUCAGGUGGGGAGUUUGGCUGGGGCGACACAUCUGUUAAAAUAUAAUGCAGGUGUCCUAAGAUGAGCUCAACGAGAACAUAAAUCUCGUGUGGACCAAAAGGGUAAAAGCUCGUUUGAUUCUGAUUUCCAAUACUAAUACGAACUGUGAAAGCAUAACGUAUUGAUCCUUUUGACCUUCGAAAUUCGAAGCUAGAGGCAUCAGAAAAGUUACCACAAGGAUAACUGGCUUGUGGCAGGUAAGCGUUCAUAGCAACGUUGCUUUUUUAUCCUUCAAUGUCGGCUCUUCCAAUCAUUGUGAAGCAGAAUUCACCAAGUGUUAGAUUGUUCACCCACCAAUAGGGAACGUGAGCUGGGUUUAGGCCAUUGUGAGACAAGUUAGUUUUAUCCUACUGAUGAUGGUGUCGCAAUAGUAAUUCAACCUAGUACGAGAGGAAUCGUUGAUUCGCACAAUUGGUCAUUGCGUUUGGUUGAAAAGCUAGUGGCGCAAAGCUACCGUGUGCUUGAUUACGAUUGAACGCCUCUAAGUCAGAAUCCAGACUAGAAGUGACGCAUGCGCCUAUCACUCGAUUGUCAACAAGGUGUAGAGACCUUUCGACCCCCAAAGGCACGUGUCAUUGGUUAAGCCUUCAUGACGAAUGAGUCGCAGAGGCUGCCUUGUAACGUAAUUCCCACCGAGCGAUUGGUAGAAUCUUUGAAAGACAACUUAAAUACCCAACAUGGUAUUAUAAGUGGCAAGUGGCCUUGCUGCCAUGAUUCACUGAGAUUCAACCCUUCGACCCUCCCA